GACGAACGCUGGCGGCGUGCUUAACACAUGCAAGUCGAACGGAAAGGCCCUGCUUUUGUGGGGUGCUCGAGUGGCGAACGGGUGAGUAACACGUGAGUAACCUGCCCUUGACUUUGGGAUAACUUCAGGAAACUGGGGCUAAUACCGGAUAGGAGCUCCUGCUGCAUGGUGGGGGUUGGAAAGUUUCGGCGGUUGGGGAUGGACUCGCGGCUUAUCAGCUUGUUGGUGGGGUAGUGGCUUACCAAGGCUUUGACGGGUAGCCGGCCUGAGAGGGUGACCGGCCACAUUGGGACUGAGAUACGGCCCAGACUCCUACGGGAGGCAGAAGUGGGGAAUCUUGCACAAUGGGCGGAAGCCUGAUGCAGCAACGCCGCGUGCGGGAUGACGGCCUUCGGGUUGUAAACCGCUUUCGCCUGUGACGAAGCGUGAGUGACGGUAAUGGGUAAAGAAGCACCGGCUAACUACGUG
RNAcentral lists this ribosomal RNA (468 nucleotides) under uncultured bacterium. Its description in RNAcentral is "partial 16S ribosomal RNA". It matches the Rfam family "Bacterial small subunit ribosomal RNA", at positions 28 to 507 of the family's 1533-position model. The record is from RNAcentral.